UACCGCGACUCAAUCAGUUUGUAUCACUGUGGUACACGUUCGGUGGAGGAACCAGACUGGAUGUUGGACGUGAUGUCCGUCCCUCCCUGACGGUGCUGCCCCCCUCCACAGAGGAGCUGCAGCAGGGGAAGGCCACGCUCAUGUGUCUGGCCAACAAGGGCUUCCCCUCAGACUGGAGUCUGUCCUGGAAGGUGGACGGCAGCAGCAGCCUCAGCAGCUGGGAGGAGAGCAGGAGCCCCGGGGUGCUGCAGGAGGACGGCCUCUACAGCUGGAGCAGCACCCUGAGGCUCCCUGCAGACCAGUGGGGGAAGGUGGGCUCUGUGAGCUGUGAGGCCACCCAGGGCUCCCAGACUCCACUCUCAGAGACACUGAGGAGAGACCAGUGUUCCCAGUCCUGACCUCACCCACUGGGAACAUCACACUGGUUCUGUUCUGAUACUGUUCUCUGUUUUUCUUUCUCUCUUUGGCUCUUUCAUUUCUAAUGACUCCAACUUACCAUUAUUAUGAUUCACCUUCAGUGAUGCUGAUACUGUUCAUGCUUCAAAACAAUAAAGAUUUGUCUCUGAUUAUCAA
Molecule: non-coding RNA, 573 nt
Organism: Acanthochromis polyacanthus (spiny chromis)
Lineage: Eukaryota; Metazoa; Chordata; Actinopteri; Pomacentridae
Source: the annotation of a RefSeq genome assembly